UGUGUGUAAUUGUGUGCACAAAAGUUAAUGCAGUGGCCCUAAAUGGACGCUGCCACCCAGUGUCUGUGUAGGUUGCCAGUGUUCUCACAUGCACUCAGCAGGGGAAUGAAGGUAAGGGGCUGGAGCACCAGUCCACUACAGCACAAGGAAUUUGCACAAACUGGAGUUCAUGUGAGUUGAUGUCUUCCUGUUAGCUAAAAGAUCCUAAGAGAAGUAAAAAAGUGAUAUAUCUUUGCAAGUAGGGUUCUAGUCUGCAGCUUUGUUUAGUUGACUAAUCUGGACACAGCGUUCUACUUGAAGAGCCAUGAGAGAGCUGCUAAUGAGAAUUGUGCUGUCUUCUGAGCUGUUGAGACAUGAAGAGAGAAUCACUCAGCUUUAGUGCUAUGGUCCUCUUGUCCCCUGCUCGUAAGGCAUCCUCCCACAAUGUGAAUUUUACUAAGGUGUGGCAGAGACCAGUCCAUUAUAUGGAACGGAUCAUCAGUUUCCUUUACUAUCAAAAACUGAACCUUAUUUGGGGUAUCCUUGAGGACCAUCCCUUCCACAUAUGCUGAAAGUCUGACUAUGAGAAGGAGGAAAAAGAAAUGGACAAGGGAGGAUGUGUUGUUUGAGCUGUUUAAUAUUUUUGAGUUUGGAGCCCAUGAUACCAGGGCAUGGAAGGAACAAAAGCUGGAGGAAAGGCAGAAGGGCAGAAGUUCUCCAAAACAUCAUGCAGCACCUCAGAUAAACACAGAUGUUCCAACAUUUUAUGGAGUAGAGCAUGCAGAGGCCUCAGCAGCCAUUUCACAAGGUGGACAAUUCCUGCUUCUGGGCCACAGCAUAAACCCUUCCUCAAGGCACCAAAAUUCCCUGAAACACUUUCCCUUCCAUACUUCACCAGUGGACAAUGAGGACUGCUAUGAGUACACAUACACUAACCUGUGAUACAGUUCAGAGCAGUCAGCAUUUUGCACUUUUUUUUAGUAGUUUGUUUAUUACUGUACAGUAAAGAUUCACUGUUUUUGAAAAACAUUUAUUUUCUCUACAAGAUAGAGAUGUAACCCCACUGCUCCCCAAGUCACUAAUUCCUCCUAAGAGUCAUAAAAGUUCAUAAAUAUCCAUAGCCUGGACAUGUACCAUAUACGCACAAAGUGACAAAAAAUGGACAAAGCAGCACACUGUUUGCCUAUGGCACACUGUCAAGUGUGUUCUUACAACUUCCGUCGAUUGGAUGCCCUUGUGUUAGGAUAUUCAAAAUCUUCAGACAGUCUUUCCACUUUCCUUCUCCUCCCUGCUGGUAGCAUUUUCCCCUUGGCCUCACACAUAUUAUGUAAAAACACAACAUGCAGUAAUAACAAUAGAAUAUUAGGUUCACUGAGAUCCAGCCUAGUCAUAAAACAUCUCCACUGCUCCUUUAAUCUGUCAGAUACACAAUCCAUAGUUAUCCUGCAGCUGCCAGUGGUUCUCAACCUAUUUACCAUUGUGGGCCACAUAUGUGGCCCAUAAUGUGUUAUGUGGACUGCAUCCAAUACUCCCUGUAUAGCCCUGAUGAUGUCACAUGGGCCGCAGCUGUGUGCUGAUUGCACCGCAGGUUAAGAACUACUGGAAGAGUUAAAU
This is a long non-coding RNA of Mauremys mutica (yellowpond turtle), 1593 nucleotides long. RefSeq lists it as uncharacterized. NCBI's taxonomy places the organism in Eukaryota, Metazoa, Chordata, Testudines, Geoemydidae. The transcript has 3 exons. The record is from RefSeq and is a predicted model, not a curated record.